UGAGAAAUGACAGUGCAAUUCUCCUCUGGCAACAACAUGAAUGAAACAACAGUUACUUUUUUUUGAAAAAAAAAAUGCAUUUGUAAAUGUGUUGUUUAUGUUUCUUUGCCAAAGGAGAAUUGCCCUGCCAUUUACUC
Molecule: non-coding RNA, 137 nt
Organism: Cucumis sativus (cucumber)
Lineage: Eukaryota; Viridiplantae; Streptophyta; Magnoliopsida; Cucurbitales; Cucurbitaceae
Source: Rfam